UGCCAGCAGCCGCGGUAAUACGGAGGGUCCUAGCGUUGUUCGGAAUGACUGGGCGUAAAGGGUACGUAGGCGGUUUGGUCAGUUAGAUGUGAAAGCCCGGGCUUAACCUGGGAACUGCCUUCAAAACUGGCAAGCUCGAGACCGGGAGAGGUAAGCGGAAUUUCCAGUGUAGAGGUGAAAUUCGUAGAUAUUGGAAAGAACACCAGUGGCGAAGGCGGCUUACUGGACCGGAUCUGACGCUGAGGCGCGAAAGCGUGGGGAGCAAACAGGAUUAGAUA
Molecule: ribosomal RNA, 278 nt
Filed under: uncultured bacterium
Lineage: Bacteria
Description: partial 16S ribosomal RNA
Rfam family: Bacterial small subunit ribosomal RNA
Source: RNAcentral